CCUGGUUGAUCCUGCCAGUAGCAUAUGCUUGUCUCAAAGAUUAAGCCAUGCAAGUCUAAGUACACACGGUCGGUACAGUGAAACUGCGAAUGGCUCAUUAAAUCAGUUAUGGUUCCUUUGAUCGCUCCAACGUUACUUGGAUAACUGUGGCAAUUCUAGAGCUAAUACAUGCAAACGAGCGCUGACCUCCGGGGAUGCGUGCAUUUAUCAGACCCAAGACCCUCGCGGGGAUGCCUCUCGGGGCGCCCCGGUUGCUUUGGUGACUCUAGAUAACCUCGAGCCGAUCGCUGGCCCACCGUGGCGGCGACGUCUCAUUCGAAUGUCUGCCCUAUCAACUUUGGAUGGUACUUUAAGUGCCUACCAUGGUGACCACGGGUAACGGGGAAUCAGGGUUCGAUUCCGGAGAGGGAGCCUGAGAAACGGCUACCACAUCCAAGGAAGGCAGCAGGCGCGCAAAUUACCCACUCCCGACUCGGGGAGGUAGUGACGAAAAAUACCAAUACAGGACUCUUUCGAGGCCCUUUAAUUGGAAUGAGUACACUUUAAAUCCUUUAACGAGGAUCUAUUGGAGGCCAAGUCUGGUGCCAGCAGCCGCGGUAAUUCCAGCUCCAAUAGGGAUCUUUAAAGUUGCUGCAGUUAAAAAGUUCGUAGUUGGAUUUCGGAAUCGAGCUGACGUUCCGCCGGGAGGCGAGUUACCUUUUUUCCCAGCCCCUGCCUUUGGGGGCCCCCCCGAUGUUUUUACCGGAGUGUCCCGCGGGGUCCGAAGCGUUUACUUUGAAAAAAUUAGAGUGUUCAAAGCAGGCCCGGUCGCCUGAAUACCGCAGCUAGGAAUCAUGGAAUAGGACUCCGGUUCUAUUCUGCGGGUUUUCUCUGAACUGGGGCCCUGAUUAAAAGGGACGGCUCGGGAGCCUCCGUAUUGUGCCGCUAGAGGUUAAUUUCUGGGCCGGCGCCAGCCCGGGUCCGGGCCCGGAGUCGGUCCGUCA
RNAcentral lists this ribosomal RNA (983 nucleotides) under Nothobranchius furzeri (turquoise killifish). Its description in RNAcentral is "bacterial SSU rRNA". It matches the Rfam family "Eukaryotic small subunit ribosomal RNA", at positions 3 to 975 of the family's 1831-position model. Lineage: Eukaryota; Metazoa; Chordata; Actinopteri; Cyprinodontiformes; Nothobranchiidae. The record is from RNAcentral.